UCUCAUAACGGAUGGUUGUGAGCCACCAUGUGGUUGCUGGGAAUUGAACUCAGGACCUCUGGAAGAGCAGUCAGUGCUCUUAACCUCUGAACCAUCUCUCCAGCCCCGUAGCAAGCACUCUUAAUCAUGGAAUGACCUCUCUGCCCAAAGUUCCUAACUUUUAAAGACGGGAUCUCAUGUAGCUAAGCUCUUCACCGUGUAGCUUGAGAGUGACCUUGAAUUCCUUUUCUUUUUCAAUCACCACCUAAGUGCUAGUAAAUAAUAAAAUAGUAAUAAUAAUAAUAAUCUUUGCUUACUCUUUCACUCUAUUCUGCGUCCCUGUGUCAACCUGUGCCCCGACACUCUUUAUAUGUUCUUUUUGAAUCCCUUUUAAAGAUACCUUUCCUGUGUCUGCUUCAAGUCUAGAUUUUUUGAGUAUUCUCUUUUAAGUUGUAGAUCUUUGUCUUUUUACCUAUUUGAAUUAAAAAUAACUUCUGUUAGUUGCCCACUUUGCUUUGUAGCCCAGUCUAUGGUCAUCUUUGGCAGUGUUUUAUGUAUGCUUGAAGAGGAGUAUUCUAGUUGCUAGGUACAAGGUCAAGGGAUACUGUGCAGAUAAUUCUGUUUUGUUUACUUGUUUUAUAAGUUACCAAGUAAGAAUUGCCUGUUAAUUUCUCCAAUCACAACUGCAGGUUAUUUUCACUUAUAAUUCUGGUUCUGUUUAUAAGACCAUGUGGUUAGGUAUGUAAAAGUUUAAUAUUACGUUGUGACAGCCUAUAGUAUUUAAUUUAUAGAUGGACUGUUGUUAUUUCUAGUAGCGAUUUUGAGACUCCCACUUAAUUCCACCUUCCCAUUUGGACCAGACUCUGAGGUUUGACUAUUGUUUCCCUCAGCCUGCCAAACAGCCCUUCUCAACCCUCUCUCAGAUUGGUAGAUACCUUCAGGGCCACCAUAACUUUAGAGGCUGGCCUUACUUUGUGACUUUGCCCUCUCUAGGUUGUAGAUUUGCCUGUUGAUUCAUUUUCAAUUAUUGAGAAAUUAUUUUAAAAUGAGUUUAGCUUUAUUCCUUGUUCUCAUCAGAGAUUUGCCAAAGUUGCCAGGUAUGGUGGCUUAUCCUGUAAAUCCCAGUCUUUAGGAAACUGAGGCAGGAGGAUUUUAAGUUUGAGGCUAGCCUGUGCUACAAAAGGAGCUCCAGUCCAGCCUGACCAGUGACAUACUGCCUCAAACAGCAACACAAAACCCCAAAGAAAGUUAUGAUUCUUUUGUUAGAAGUGUCUCUGGUUUGAUUUUUCUAAUGUUAUUCCUCUGAAUUAUGCUUAAUUACAGGAUUAAAAGAUAACUUUGGCCUCUCCUUGUACUGCGUAGGCUCCUUCGGUUCAGUACUUUUUCUUCUGUGCAAAUAUGAGAGGAUAAUGAAACUGUUUUGGAAGAUUAGAUGGACUGGAGAGAUGGCUCAGCAGUUGAGACUAUGAUAGCAGAGGGUCCCAGCUCAGUUCCGGCACUCACAUUGGUGGCUCACAGCCUCCUGUAACUCCAGCUCCAGGGGAUCUUGAUGCCUUCUUUUGGUCUCUAUGGGUAUUGUAUACACACAGUCACAAAAAAAAAAAAAAAACCAAAAACCAAAAAA
Cricetulus griseus (Chinese hamster) is the source of this 1603-nucleotide non-coding RNA. The record is from RefSeq and is a predicted model, not a curated record. Lineage: Eukaryota; Metazoa; Chordata; Mammalia; Rodentia; Cricetidae.